GAUGGUAUAGCUCAAGGGGAGCACACGCUUAGCAUGCAUGAGGUCCUGGGUUCAAUCCCUAGUACCUCCU
RNAcentral lists this transfer RNA (70 nucleotides) under Camelus ferus (Wild Bactrian camel). It matches the Rfam family "tRNA". Rfam says of the family: Transfer RNA (tRNA) molecules are approximately 80 nucleotides in length. Their secondary structure includes four short double-helical elements and three loops (D, anti-codon, and T loops). Lineage: Eukaryota; Metazoa; Chordata; Mammalia; Artiodactyla; Camelidae. The record is from Rfam by way of RNAcentral.